GCAAGUCGAGCGGAAACGAUCCUAGCUUGCUAGGAGGCGUCGAGCGGCGGACGGGUGAGUAACACGUGAGAACCUGCCCAUUAGUGGGGGAUAACCUGGGGAAACCCAGGCUAAUACCGCAUAAUCCCUACGGGGGAAAGCAGGGGACCUUCGGGCCUUGUGCUGAUGGAUGAGCUCGCGUCGGAUUAGCUUGUUGGUGAGGUAAUGGCUCACCAAGGCGACGAUCCGUAGCUGGUCUUAGAGGAUGAUCAGCCACACCGGGACUGAGACACGGCCCGGACUCCUACGGGAGGCAGCAGUGGGGAAUCUUGGACAAUGGGGGCAACCCUGAUCCAGCCAUGCCGCGUGUGUGAAGAAGGCCUUCGGGUUGUAAAGCACUUUCAGUAGGGAGGAAGGCUUAUCCUUAAUACGGAUGAGUACUUGACGUUACCUACAGAAGAAGCACCGGCUAAUUUCGUGCCAGCAGCCGCGGUAAUACGAAAGGUGCGAGCGUUAAUCGGAAUUACUGGGCGUAAAGCGCGCGUAGGCGGUUUGCUAAGUCAGAUGUGAAAGCCCCGGGCUCAACCUGGGAACUGCAUUUGAAACUGGCAGGCUAGAAUGCAGUAGAGGGAGGUGGAAUUUCCGGUGUAGCGGUGAAAUGCGUAGAGAUCGGAAGGAACACCAGUGGCGAAGGCGGCCUCCUGGACUGACAUUGACGCUGAGGUGCGAAAGCGUGGGGAGCAAACAGGAUUAGAUACCCUGGUAGUCCACGCCGUAAACGAUGUCUACUAGUCGUUGGGAAUCUUAGUAUUCUUGGUGACGAAGUUAACGCGAUAAGUAAACCGCCUGGGGAGUACGGCCGCAAGGUUAAACUCAAAUGAUUGACGGGGGCCCGCACAAGCGGUGAGCAUGUGUUUAUUCGAUGCACGCGAGACCUUACCAGGCCU
Molecule: ribosomal RNA, 926 nt
Filed under: uncultured bacterium
Lineage: Bacteria
Description: bacterial SSU rRNA
Rfam family: Bacterial small subunit ribosomal RNA
Source: RNAcentral